AGUGAACGCUGGCGGCGUGCUUAACACAUGCAAGUCGAACGGUAACAGGAACUAGCUUGCUAGUUUGCUGACGAGUGGCGCACGGGUGAGUAAUAUAUAGUUAAUGUACCCCAAAGACUGGGAUAGCCACUGGAAACGGUGAUUAAUACUAGAUACACCUCUUUAACAUAAGUUAGAGAGGGAAAUGUCUUUUCGCUUUGGGAUCAGACUAUAUCCUAUCAGUUAGUUGGUGAGGUAAUGGCUCACCAAGGCAAUGACGGGUAGCGGGUUUGAGAGGAUGAUCCGCUACACUGGUACUGAGACACGGACCAGACUCCUACGGGAGGCAGCAGUGAGGAAUAUUGCACAAUGGAGGAAACUCUGAUGCAGCAACGCCGCGUGGAGGAUGACGCAUUUCGGUGUGUAAACUCCUUUUAUGAGUCAAGAAAAUGACGGUAGCUCAUGAAUAAGCACCGGCUAACUCCGUGCCAGCAGCCGUACGG
This 482-nucleotide ribosomal RNA is filed under the name uncultured bacterium. RNAcentral's name for it is "bacterial SSU rRNA". It matches the Rfam family "Bacterial small subunit ribosomal RNA", at positions 29 to 528 of the family's 1533-position model. The record is from RNAcentral.